RNAcentral lists this long non-coding RNA (459 nucleotides) under Solanum tuberosum (potato). RNAcentral's name for it is "long non-coding RNA (STUB_LNC009536)". Lineage: Eukaryota; Viridiplantae; Streptophyta; Magnoliopsida; Solanales; Solanaceae. The record is from RNAcentral.
UUAGGGUACAACCUUUUGUAACUAUGCAUUGUUCUUUAAGACAUUUGGCUGCCCUUUGAAUACCUAGCAAGUACCAACAUGCUCCCACAGCCUGCAUGUUCGGGUUCAGAGUACGAAAGUCAAACUAAAGACGUACAUGUACGUAUGUGAAUUAUUCAAGUACUAUAGAUUUGAGAGUCAAAUUUUGUCUCAAUUUUGCAUGUUCGGGUUCAGAGUACGAAAGUCAAACUAAAGACGUACAUGUACGUAUGUGAAUUAUUCAAGUACUAUAGAUUUGAGAGUCAAAUUUUGUCUCAAUUUUGCAUGUUCGGGUUCAGAGUACGAAAGUCAAACUAAAGACGUACAUGUACGUAUGUGAAUUAUUCAAGUACUAUAGAUUUGAGAGUCAAAUUUUGUCUCAAUUUUGCAUGUUCGGGUUCAGAGUACGAAAGUCAAACUAAAGCACAUGUAUGUGAAUUU